GGUGGUGAACGCGUCUGGGAACGCGCUCGGUCUCCAAAACCGACGGCUCCGUCCUGUGGGGUUCGAUUCCUCCGCCACCU
RNAcentral lists this transfer RNA (80 nucleotides) under Gemmata algarum. RNAcentral describes it as "tRNA-Trp". It matches the Rfam family "tRNA". From Rfam's summary of the family: Transfer RNA (tRNA) molecules are approximately 80 nucleotides in length. Their secondary structure includes four short double-helical elements and three loops (D, anti-codon, and T loops). The record is from RNAcentral. Lineage: Bacteria; Pseudomonadati; Planctomycetota; Planctomycetia; Gemmatales; Gemmataceae.